RNAcentral lists this ribosomal RNA (323 nucleotides) under Anabas testudineus (climbing perch). RNAcentral describes it as "partial 16S ribosomal RNA". It matches the Rfam family "Bacterial large subunit ribosomal RNA", at positions 1848 to 2313 of the family's 2925-position model. The record is from RNAcentral. Lineage: Eukaryota; Metazoa; Chordata; Actinopteri; Anabantiformes; Anabantidae.
AGAGGUCCUGCCUGCCCAGUGACUUAGUUCAACGGCCGCGGUAUUUUGACCGUGCAAAGGUAGCGCAAUCACUUGUCUUUUAAAUGAAGACCUGUAUGAAUGGCAAGACGAGGGCUUAACUGUCUCCUUUUUCAAGUCAAUGAAAUUGAUCUCCCCGUGCAGAAGCGGGGAUACUACCAUAAGACGAGAAGACCCUAUGGAGCUUUAGACACUAAAGCAGCUCUUGUCAAUACCCUAAGAAUAAUUAGACUAAACUUUGGGAACCCUGCUUCAAUGUCUUUGGUUGGGGCGACCACGGGGAAGUAAGUAACCCCCGCGCGGAA